This is a long non-coding RNA of Peromyscus eremicus (cactus mouse), 578 nucleotides long. RefSeq lists it as uncharacterized. NCBI's taxonomy places the organism in Eukaryota, Metazoa, Chordata, Mammalia, Rodentia, Cricetidae. The transcript is spliced from 2 exons. The record is from RefSeq and is a predicted model, not a curated record.
GCAUGGGGGAGGGGAGGCCCCCUUUUCCACAAUGAGGUAUAAGGCCCAGCAGACGGACUUCCAACAUCCCAGAGGGUCGGCGAGGGCCAACGAUAAAGGCACAAGAUAGCCAAUGAGACAAUGAUAGCCAUAACAAAGGCUAUGGGCCAUGGAGUUGAGUGGGCACAGGCCAUCUCCACUUGCUGUUGCGUAGGGAUGGGGCCAGGGCCAAAAGACACGUGGUACCGGCCAGCGAAACAAGAGGAAUCCUCAGUUGUGGGAAAUGACAAAAGGGAAGGGAAGAAUCUUACCAAUCCAAUAGGGUGAAGAGUCCCGCACGGUCCUCCAGCCAGAAAAAUGAACAUUAACAGGGGUGAGUGACCUUCCUGAUCCUUGACUUAGGAGGCAGAGGGAAGAGGCAUGCACCUUGUGGAAACAUGUGACUAGUUCUAGCUCCUACAGUCCCCUUGGCAUCUGGAAAUGAAGACUCAUUACUUUCAAGCUGUUAUGGACUUCACAGCUGGCUGUGUUAUUUAUAUGAGAUGACAAGACAGACUCUUCAGGACUGAAGCCUUUAAUAAAUUGAUCAAUUUACUGAA